Molecule: ribosomal RNA, 433 nt
Filed under: uncultured bacterium
Lineage: Bacteria
Description: partial 16S ribosomal RNA
Rfam family: Bacterial small subunit ribosomal RNA
Source: RNAcentral
AACGAACGCUGGCGGCAUGCCUAACACAUGCAAGUCGAACGAGACCUUCGGGUCUAGUGGCGCACGGGUGCGUAACGCGUGGGAACCUGCCCUUAGGUUCGGAAUAACUCAGAGAAAUUUGAGCUAAUACCGGAUGAUGUCUUCGGCCCAAAGAUUUAUCGCCUUUCGAUGGGCCCGCGUUGGAUUCGCUUGUUGGUGGGGUAAAGGCCUACCAAGGCGACGAUCCAUAGCUGGUCUGAGAGGAUGAUCAGCCACACUGGGACGGAGACACGGCCCAGAAUCCUACGGGAGGCAGCAGUGGGGAAUAUUGGACAAUGGGCGAAAGCCUGAUGCAGCAAUGCCGCGUGAGUGAUGAAGGCCUUAGGGUUGUAAAGCUCUUUUACCCGAGAUGAUAAUGACAGUAUCGGGAGAAUAAGCUCCGGCUAACUCCGUG